RNAcentral lists this long non-coding RNA (1739 nucleotides) under Brassica napus (rape). RNAcentral describes it as "long non-coding RNA (BNAP_LNC009909)". Lineage: Eukaryota; Viridiplantae; Streptophyta; Magnoliopsida; Brassicales; Brassicaceae. The record is from RNAcentral.
AAAAAAAAAAACCCUACGACUCGCAUCGACUUCGUCUUCUCUGUUUCCUUUUCAUCAAAGCUUCUAGAGAUUCGAUUAGGUUUUGAAUUUUAAGACUCUCUAUUCAAUUGGUCUUUGUGAUCGGAUUGGGUAUGGCUCAAGCUGUAGAAGAAUGGUACAAACAGAUGCCGAUAAUAACCCGGUCGUACUUGACGGCGGCUGUUGUUACCACCGUGGGAUGUUCUCUCAAGGUAUAUACGCUUCCUCUUUCUCUGUUUUCCGUUUCUCCAUCCCUAUUCGUCCUUUCCGAACCUGAGAAACGUGAACGGAGAUGGUACCUUUGUCAUUAUCUCAACAUAAUCUCUGGCCGCCGGAAUCUGUAUCUCCGUUUAUGGAAAAGAACGCUGCUACAAAUAAACCUUAACAUUUUUAUUAUACAAUAUUUACAAUUUAUGCUUGUAGAUCUUUAAAGUCAAUAUAUGAGCACUCAUAUUUUCUUCCUUUGAUUUAUAUUUACAUUUUAUUUUAUUAUUGUUUAUAUUAAAUUAUAAUAAUUAAAUUUAACUAUAUUCGUAAAAUUUGAAAAAGAUAAAUAAGAAAACAUAUAUUAAGAUUUUUAUUAUGUUAUUAAAUUCAACCGAAGUACCGAACAAGACUAAUUUUGAUCAAUACAUUUUGAUCCAUGACUCGAAAACUUUUUCUGUUCGGUUUUAUGUCUGGUUUUAAAAAUAUUAAAGAUAAUCUGUUCAAAUGGUUUUUUUUGAAAAACAAUCUGUUCAAAUGUUUAAAAAUAUAAAUCUUCAAAACUGCAUUCAAUGAUCUAUACUUAUGUGAUUCAUUCUUUUCCAGAUUAAACAGUCAAUGAUGACAUGCUUUCACAUUAUCACUAUUCCUCUAUUUUGCAUUAGUUUAUACAUUACACUAUUAAUUUAUUGAUUAGGCGACAUAGCUUGGCAACCACUUCUCUUCAGCCCUCUGCUUGCUUUUAAAUUAAAUUUAUAUAUUAAGAUUUUUAUUAUGUUAUUAAAUUCAACCGAAGUACCAAACAAGACUAAUAUAUAUAGAUAUACAGUACUCUCUCCGUUCCACAAAGAUAGACUUUUUAGAAGAAAAAAAUUGUUUCAGAAAGAUGUAUUUUUUGUGUUUUCUAUGAAAAAAUUGUAAACUAACUUUAUUGAAUUACUAUUGGUUAAAAGUUAAUUUUGUUUUUUUAAAGUGAUCUAUACUAUAUUAAAAGGAAUAUAUGAGCUCCUCUUAGCUAUGCCACGUCGGAUCAAAAAAUCAUCUAAUCAAAUUUGUCUUUACUGCCAUGUCAUCUGCGGCUUGAGUAAAAAAAAAAACCCUACGACUCGCAUCGACUUCGUCUUCUCUGUUUCCUUUUCAUCAAAGCUUCUAGAGAUUCGAUUAGGUUUUGAAUUUUAAGACUCUCUAUUCAAUUGGUCUUUGUGAUCGGAUUGGGUAUGGCUCAAGCUGUAGAAGAAUGGUACAAACAGAUGCCGAUAAUAACCCGGUCGUACUUGACGGCGGCUGUUGUUACCACCGUGGGAUGUUCUCUCAAGGUAUAUACGCUUCCUCUUUCUCUGUUUUCCGUUUCUCCAUCCCUAUUCGUCCUUUCCGAACCUGAGAAACGUGAACGGAGAUGGUACCUUUGUCAUUAUCUCAACAUAAUCUCUGGCCGCCGGAAUCUGUAUCUCCGGUGUUUCGGGGUUACGUAACCGCCACAUCGAAACACGCCUGCGACCAUCUUCGCCGUCACCUCC